RNAcentral lists this ribosomal RNA (484 nucleotides) under uncultured bacterium. Its description in RNAcentral is "partial 16S ribosomal RNA". It matches the Rfam family "Bacterial small subunit ribosomal RNA", at positions 29 to 523 of the family's 1533-position model. The record is from RNAcentral.
AGUGAACGCUGGCGGCGUGCUUAACACAUGCAAGUCGAACGAGAACGGGUUAUAGCUUGCUAUAAUUGUCAGCUAAGUGGCGCACGGGUGAGUAAUGUAUAGGUAAUAUGCCUCUUACUAAGGGAUAACAAUUGGAAACGAUUGCUAAUACCUUAUACUCCUUAUUAACAGAAGUUAAUAAGGGAAAGAUUUAUUGGUAAGAGAUUAGCCUGUAUUGUAUCAGUUAGUUGGUGGGGUAAUGGCUUACCAAGACUAUGGCACAUAACUGGUUUGAGAGGAUGAUCAGUCACACUGGAACUGAGACACGGUCCAGACUCCUACGGGAGGCAGCAGUGGGGAAUAUUGCACAAUGGACGAAAGUCUGAUGCAGCAACGCCGCGUGGAGGAUGACACAUUUCGGUGCGUAAACUCCUUUUAUAUGAGAAGAUAAUGACGGUAUUAUAUGAAUAAGCACCGGCUAACUCCGUGCCAGCCGCCGCUGUAA